UGGGUUGUGGCUCAGCGGUAGAGUGCUCGCUGCAGUAGAGGGCUUGCCUCGCACGUGCAAGACCCUGGGUUCGAUCCUCAGCACCACAU
RNAcentral lists this transfer RNA (89 nucleotides) under Marmota monax (woodchuck). RNAcentral's name for it is "tRNA.Cys". The record is from RNAcentral. Lineage: Eukaryota; Metazoa; Chordata; Mammalia; Rodentia; Sciuridae.